RNAcentral lists this transfer RNA (67 nucleotides) under Xenomystus nigri (African knifefish). RNAcentral describes it as "tRNA-Ser (AGY)". Lineage: Eukaryota; Metazoa; Chordata; Actinopteri; Osteoglossiformes; Notopteridae. The record is from RNAcentral.
GAGAGAUAGGCAUGCGCUAGGAACUGCUAAUCCCUUAGCCCCAUGGUUCGAACCCAUGGCUCACUUA